Long non-coding RNA from Chinchilla lanigera (long-tailed chinchilla), 875 nucleotides. RefSeq lists it as uncharacterized. The record is from RefSeq and is a predicted model, not a curated record. The transcript has 3 exons. NCBI's taxonomy places the organism in Eukaryota, Metazoa, Chordata, Mammalia, Rodentia, Chinchillidae.
CCAAGGAUCCUCCUGCCUCAGCCUCCUGAGUACUGGGAUUACAGGUGUGCACCACCACGCCUGGCAUGACAAAGGAAUUAAGAGGUAUUGUGUACAUGGACCAACUUCCUACAAGGAAGCCUACUUGAGAUGAAAAGAUUUGCUCCACCAAACAUUCCUGCCAUGAUGUUCUGCCUCAUUUCAGGAUUGAAAGCAAUGAGGCCAAGUGACCAUGGACUAGACCCUCUGUGCAUAUAAUUCUGCCAGAGAGACCAACAUGGCAACAGCUGGUCCCAGUACAACACAGCACGUGACGUAAUAGAGAUGGAUGAAAGGAACUGCAGAAGCAAGAGGAAGCCAUGGCCACCUCAGGCUGGGAGAGUCUGAGGAGCAGAGGAGCAGACAUUGUCAGCUGAGUUGUGUUUUAGUAAGGAUUGCUUAGACCAAUGUAGAGAGGAAUGAUGUUUGCAUGUGUGUGUUUGUAAAUUAUUCCCAGUGAAAAGAAGAGUGACUAUACACUUGACCUCACCCCAAAUUUAAUUUUUAAAGAAAGUAAUCAUAAGUAAAGAUAAUUUCAAAUAUAACACUAUAGGGCAUAGUAUUGAUAAAUGGGAAGAAAACUGGUUCUUAAAGAGCGUCCCACUCACUUACCAUGCCCUGAAAUUAACUGAGAGCUCAUUUGUCAAGAGUGCACCUACCCUACAGAGAAUUCUUCCAAUUAACAUCAAAAGCGAUCAUUCUUAACCUCUCAUGCAUUAAGAAAAAUCUUGUCUGCACCCAAUGUUCUGUUCAUAAUCAAUGGAGCCCUUUAUGUAUGUUAUUUCAAAUUUAUCACCCUGUAUAUUACUAGAAUGAAUGAAUUAAUAAAUGAAUCUGCUGUAGGUGCAGAAGCUAGA